This 3806-nucleotide long non-coding RNA is filed under the name Apis mellifera (honey bee). RNAcentral's name for it is "uncharacterized LOC100577013". The record is from RNAcentral. Lineage: Eukaryota; Metazoa; Arthropoda; Insecta; Hymenoptera; Apidae.
UUCGUUUCCUUAUUCUUCGUGGAGCUAGAGUGGAGUUUGAAUGGACUUUUCUACGAACGUACAAUGAAAUAAAUCGUGCGAGGAAAAUCGGAUUUCUGCGGAUUUUGAAUCGAGAAUUGUUGCAAAUAGUUUAUGAAUUAUGUAUCUUCUUUUGAAUCAUUGUUAUCGAGAGUGAUUCAGUGGAAAUCGCAUCCUGUACCACCCGGGCAUCCAUCGGGAUUAAGAUCAACGACACCUGACCCGUCGUCGAACACCGGAAGAGGAAGUCCAUCGACCCAUCGGCCACGAAAAAGAGGACCCCUUGUCAUUCACUCGUGAAACACGUGUGCGCGAGCCAUUAAAGCGUAAAACACGUGCGAGGAUCUCUAGUAAAUCUGAGAAUUUUGUAGAUCUUCCAAGGAUAACCGAAAUAUCUCUCUCUCGGGUUUUAAGGAUUGAAUUAAAAAAGGAAAGAAAAAAAAAGAAAGCAAUCAAUUUCUAGAUAUUCCUUCUCAUUAUCUCAAACGCUGUAUUUCGUUGUAUCUUCACGACACGUCAAUCUAUACAUACGACGAAACAUAUCUACACUCGUCGAACAAGACGUACACGGAAAUUUCUUCCACGGUUUUUAAUUGAAUCGUAUCUCGAAACGUUCCUGGAAAUACCAAUAUUUAUGCAGCGACGUACGCCCACCGCGUAGAAGAAGAAAAAAAAAACGAAUAACAGAAAAGGCAGGUAUAUACGUUACGAUCAACAAUAUCAAAUAUGUAAAUCCAUCGAGGAUCCUCCUCGAGAGAACACGAUCCCCACUUUCAUUCGAAAAGUGCUCGACGCCCGGCGUUCGUGAAUCGUUCCGUAGCCGUAGCCGUGUAGGUGAAUCAGAGGCGCGUAGGUAAAGAUCGCGCGCGAUGAAAUUCGUAGAAUAGAACGGAUGUUGGGCAAUCCGGAAUGGUUGGCAGGUGCCGCUGGGUGGUGGGCGUCGUUUUACGCCAAAUUCGAUACGAAACCAGAAUUCCCGUUUCCUUUCUCACGAAACGAAUUCCUCUACCUCUUCCUCGCGUUUCUCCAUUUUUUCCCUUUUUUCUUUCUUUCUUUCUUUUUUUUUUUUUUUGAACCUUUCUAUCGUCUUUGCAUCCCUCAGGUAAAAUUCUUCUAUUCCUUCCAUCGAGAAAUUUUUCUUCGCCUAAAAUCUUUCUUUACUUUGUCGUUAUUAUUAUUAGAUGCAUCUUCGAUAUUCUUGUAAAUGAUCAUUCAUAUUUCACUGUACACUUCGCUCUGUUUAAUAGUUUCUUCGUUUCAGAUUUCUUGCAUCAAACGAAUCAUUCAGAUUCUCUUCACCCACGCGACUUUGCUCGAGCAUCGGUCGCGAACAUUUAAAAUUCUACAAAUUAUAUUCGAUAUAUAUUUUUAUCUUUCACAUAUUAAUAACGAAACGUCCACCGUUGAAAUUUCCGAAUACAAACGAACCGAUUCACAUUUAGAUUUUCUAUCGGGAGUCGUAUCGUGUGAACAAGUGAAAAAAAAAAAAAAAGAAGAAAGAAAAAGAAAGAGAAAAAAAGGAAAAAGAAAUAGGUUGGUCGCAUGGGGACGUCGCAGGUCCGAAGAUCACGAACCGGCGCAUAUGGAGAGGCCGUGAAGCGGAUGAGGGGUCAGAGUACUUCCUACACGCUGUGCCUAUGGGGUACACCCAUACGUGUACGCGAUUACGUGGGCAACGACGUGUGGGACAUCAUAGAACGGCCACGAGGCAACGCACCACCUGUUGAAUCUCUCGAGAGGGUCACAGAGGGAAUACGCGGUUGACUGCGAGACAGUUACUAUAUCGUUUCACCGGAACGAGGAGUGAUUCAUCGCGGAGGGAAGGUUGGCCAGGAAAUGUGGAGUGUUUGCGGAGGAUUAUAUCGACCUACGCCGAACUUACUAUUAAUUUGCUGCGUGGACAAUGGUGCUAAUGCCACAACGAAGUGCGCGCCAGAGAACGGGUACGUAGAGGAGUAUGUAGAUUCAGGACAAUGCGGUCCUAUUAACGAGAUCAAACGAUACAAGGAGACGACCGCCGUGGUCCGGUACUGUGCUCCCGCCAACCAGGGAUGCAGACAUUCUUACACUGUUCUUUCUUCGCGCUACUUUGUCGAAUAAUAGGCCGAGCACUGCCAAAACCUUGAAUUCUCCUGAAUCAAUUAUCCGUAAUACAAAAAAGAAAAAUCAUUCUCCUUUUAUCCACAAUAAGCUAAGAACAAACGUAUAUAAUUCAAUUUUAAUUAAAUUAGCUGCAGAAUUAUUUGUGAUUCCAUUUUUCCACCACAACUCUCGAGAAAUUGCAAAGGAUUGAGAUUAAAACUUGCACCAAACAUUUGCAUACAUCCGUAAACAACGGAUCACCAAGAUGUCAACCACAAUUUCAUUAGAAACGUCGCUCCUCCAUUCUAUCGAUCUUGCGUUCUAUCGUAUCGAAAGAAGAGUGGAGAGUAAAAUGGGCAUGGAGGAGAAAGAAAAAGUUUGUCUCAUCCGGUAUAAGCAGAUGCGCGCAUGGGCGAAGAUGCAUCGGAAACGUUAUGUUAAUAUUAAGGGGAACUGCGUGCAGGACCGUAGGUGCUUUCCAGGAAUCUCUCGCUAGUCCUGCGGCCCUGACGAUGAUAAGGCCCGCAGCACGACGGUGGCGGCGUUACAGGGCACCGAGGAUUUACAGAGGCGACAGACCGAUAUACCACAUCCCUAUCCCCCCCUCCCUUCACGGACGUUUCUCGUCCUCUUUACCUCGCUUCGCUCUACUUUGCCUCGCCUCCGACUUUUUUACACGAGGGACCGAGAUCCCUCGCUUCUGUUACGGUGGCCUUACGUACCUUACACCAGUAUGUAAAUGCACUUCGGUAAACCGGCUAUUCAUCCUCGCGCCGAUAUAUAAUUUAUCCGCAUAAUUCGUAUUUUACCACUUCGAAACGUUGCCAUCGUCGAAUAUACUUCUCCCUUCCAGACUGUUCUCCCCUCUCGUCACUUUUUUCGCUCUCCUCCCUCACGAAUAAAUUAUCGUAAUUGGUAAAUCUUUGAUUCGUUUUUAUUUAUUAUUCCAUCGUCCUUCUAAUAUAUCUUUCGUUCUUCCAGAUGUUGAAUUUCUAAUUUGUCAUGAAUCGAGAAAGAAGAAAUUGUUAUUGGAAAGAUAUUGGAAUAUUAUAAUUGAUUUUGAGAGAAUGAAAUUCUCUGAAAUAUUUCAAUCGUCGCGUUCGAAGAAUCAACAGGUAUACACACACGUAUGCACGCACACACGUAUAUAGAAAAAUCCAUCGAAUGGUUGGAAGGAGAUCUCUCUGGUAAGCACGUAAAUACGCGGCUUCGUGUAUCAAGAGCACGACGAGGGUGGAACAGCGGGCACCGUUGAAUCGUAUGCAAAAGAAGAGCGAUGCGCGAGUAAAAGAGAAAAAAGAGAGAAAGAGAGAGAGAGAGAGAGAGCAAAGAGAAAGAACAAACGACAGUCAGGCAGCCGAGGGCACAAGAGACGAGGGACACGAGCGAACCAGAUUGCUUUAAUUUGUUGCGCGUCCAGCAAAAAUGUUAAUGCCCGUCGGCCGCUCGUAAUUCAGCCAUGCCGCGGCCGCCUCUCUCUUUCUUUCCCCCUUAUCCACGCUCGCUUUUCCAUCUUCCUUCGUUCCCGCUCCCCUGUUUAGCCUCUUUCACGCGUUACACACAGUGGCCCUUAUCUGCGGUUUUAUGUUCGGCUUUGCGUUUCAGCGACGCCGAUCCUUCGCGCCCAGAAUUCGAACCAACGACCAUCCAAUGUCCUCCUCUUUUCGAUCGGACGGGGUUGUACGGAUCGGAUACGGCUCGUGUUC